UGGGGAAUCUUGCGCAAUGGAGGAAACUCUGACGCAGCUACGCCGCGUGCAGGAAGACACCCCUACGGGGCGUAAACUGCUUUUCUGCGAGAAGAAGGCAACUCUCCCUUGGAGAAUGUUUGACGGUAUCGCAGGAAUAAGGACCGGCUAACUCCGUGCCAGCAGCCGCGGUAAUACGGAGGGUCCAAGCGUUGUCCGGAAUCACUGGGUGUAAAGGGUGUGCAGGCGGACCGUGCAAGUCGGUGGUGAAAGCCCGCAGCUCAACUGCGGACGUGCCAUCGAAACUGCCGGUCUUGAGUCCCGGAGGGGCCAUCGGAAUUCGUGGUGUAGCGGUGAAAUGCGUAGAUAUCACGAGGAACACCAGAAGCGUAAGCGGAUGGCCGGACGGUGACUGACGCUCAGGCACGAAAGCGUGGGGAGCAAACAGGAUUAGAUACCCCGGUAGUCC
This 448-nucleotide ribosomal RNA is filed under the name uncultured prokaryote. Its description in RNAcentral is "bacterial SSU rRNA". It matches the Rfam family "Bacterial small subunit ribosomal RNA", at positions 355 to 796 of the family's 1533-position model. The record is from RNAcentral.